This 199-nucleotide ribosomal RNA is filed under the name uncultured bacterium. RNAcentral's name for it is "partial 16S ribosomal RNA". It matches the Rfam family "Bacterial small subunit ribosomal RNA", at positions 1301 to 1500 of the family's 1533-position model. The record is from RNAcentral.
UAGUCUGCAACCCGACUACAUGAAGCUGGAAUCGCUAGUAAUCGCGGAUCAGAAUGCCGCGGUGAAUACGUUCCCGGGUCUUGUACACACCGCCCGUCACACCAUGAGAGUCGGGAACACCCGAAGUCCGUAGCCUAACCGCAAGGGGGGCGCGGCGAAGGUGGGAUUAGCGACUGGGGUGAAGUCGUAACAAGGUACC